RNAcentral lists this ribosomal RNA (497 nucleotides) under uncultured bacterium. RNAcentral's name for it is "partial 16S ribosomal RNA". It matches the Rfam family "Bacterial small subunit ribosomal RNA", at positions 28 to 507 of the family's 1533-position model. The record is from RNAcentral.
GAUGAACGCUGGCGGCGUGCCUAAUACAUGCAAGUCGAGCGAACGGACGAGAAUCUUGCUUCUCUGAUGUUAGCGGCGGACGGGUGAGUAACACGUGGAUAACCUACCUAUAAGACUGGGAUAACUUCGGGAAACCGGAGCUAAUACCGGAUAAUAUUUUGAACCGCAUGGUUCAAAAGUGAAAGACGGUCUUGCUGUCACUUAUAGAUGGAUCCGCGCUGCAUUAGCUAGUUGGUAAGGUAACGGCUUACCAAGGCAACGAUGCAUAGCCGACCUGAGAGGGUGAUCGGCCACACUGGAACUGAGACACGGUCCAGACUCCUACGGGAGGCAGCAGUAGGGAAUCUUCCGCAAUGGGCGAAAGCCUGACGGAGCAACGCCGCGUGAGUGAUGAAGGUCUUCGGAUCGUAAAACUCUGCUAUUAGGGAAGAACAUAUGUGUAAGUAACUGUGCACAUCUUGACGGUACCUAAUCAGAAAGCCACGGCUAACUACGUG